GACGAACGCUGCCGGCGUGUUUACCACAUGCAAGUCAACGAAAAGCGGAAAGAGCUUGCUCUUUUCAGAAUUGAGUGGCAAACGGGUGAGUAACACGUAAACAACCUGCCUUCAGGAUGGGGCAACAGACGGAAACGACUGCUAAUACCGAAUAAGUUCCAAGAGCCGCAUGGCCCAUGGAAGAAAAGGUGGCCUCUACCUGUAAGCUAUCGCCUGAAGAGGGGUUUGGUCUGAUUAGUGGUUGGAGGGGUAACGGCCCACCAAGGCGACGAUCAGUAGCCGGUCUGAGAGGAUGAACGCCACACUGGAAUGAACACGGUCCAGACUCCUACGGGAGGCAGCAGUGGGAAUCUUCCCAAUGGCAAAGCCUGACGGACACGCCGCGUGAUGAUACGGCCUUCGGGUUGUAAAACUCUGUGAUCCGGGACGAAAAGGCAGAGUGCGAAGAACAAACUGCAUUGACGGUACCGGAAAAGCAAGCCACGGCU
RNAcentral lists this ribosomal RNA (488 nucleotides) under Dialister invisus. RNAcentral's name for it is "bacterial SSU rRNA". It matches the Rfam family "Bacterial small subunit ribosomal RNA", at positions 28 to 498 of the family's 1533-position model. Lineage: Bacteria; Bacillati; Bacillota; Negativicutes; Veillonellales; Veillonellaceae. The record is from RNAcentral.